AGUCGACAGUAUUUUUAUUCCUUUCCUUUGCCUUUUUGAUUUCCAUCUUUUGAAACAUUGCCGCUUUUUCCUAUUUUAUUAGUAGAUUUCCAAGUCUUUCUACAAAAUAUUAUCAUCGCUUGAGAUUGUGAGCUACCAAGCUGAACAGCCUCUUCUUUUCUUUUGUCCAAAUGGGUCUCUUUCUUUUUGUAACGGUUAACGUUUCCUGGUUUCUCUCGCUUUCUCACUCUGUCUCUCUACCCACUUUGUAGUUCUAGUACGCAGAGCAACAACCAACAAAUGGGCAGAGCUACAAGAUGGCUAAAGAGCCUGUUUGGGAUAAAGAACAACAGCAAUAAGGACAUUUGUGAUCGGAGAGAUAAGAAGCGUUGUAGUUCGGCUAGGGACUCAACAGGGCUAUGUCACAAUCCGGCUACUAUACCACCCAAUAUUUCCCCAGCAGAAGCUGCUUGGCUAAGGUCAUAUUACAAUGACACUGAGAAGGAACAG
Molecule: unclassified non-coding RNA, 489 nt
Filed under: Hevea brasiliensis (rubber tree)
Lineage: Eukaryota; Viridiplantae; Streptophyta; Magnoliopsida; Malpighiales; Euphorbiaceae
Source: RNAcentral